ACGGGUGAGUAAUGUCUGGGAAACUGCCUGAUGGAGGGGGAUAACUACUGGAAACGGUAGCUAAUACCGCAUAACGUCGCAAGACCAAAGAGGGGGACCUUCGGGCCUCUUGCCAUCAGAUGUGCCCAGAUGGGAUUAGCUAGUAGGUGGGGUAACGGCUCACCUAGGCGACGAUCCCUAGCUGGUCUGAGAGGAUGACCAGCCACACUGGAACUGAGACACGGUCCAGACUCCUACGGGAGGCAGCAGUGGGGAAUAUUGCACAAUGGGCGCAAGCCUGAUGCAGCCAUGCCGCGUGUAUGAAGAAGGCCUUCGGGUUGUAAAGUACUUUCAGCGGGGAGGAAGGCGAUAAGGUUAAUAACCUUGUCGAUUGACGUUACCCGCAGAAGAAGCACCGGCUAACUCCGUGCCAGCAGCCGCGGUAAUACGGAGGGUGCAAGCGUUAAUCGGAAUUACUGGGCGUAAAGCGCACGCAGGCGGUCUGUCAAGUCGGAUGUGAAAUCCCCGGGCUCAACCUGGGAACUGCAUUCGAAACUGGCAGGCUAGAGUCUUGUAGAGGGGGGUAGAAUUCCAGUGUAGCGGUG
RNAcentral lists this ribosomal RNA (584 nucleotides) under uncultured bacterium. Its description in RNAcentral is "bacterial SSU rRNA". It matches the Rfam family "Bacterial small subunit ribosomal RNA", at positions 102 to 683 of the family's 1533-position model. The record is from RNAcentral.